Micropterus dolomieu (smallmouth bass) is the source of this 172-nucleotide long non-coding RNA. RefSeq lists it as uncharacterized. The record is from RefSeq and is a predicted model, not a curated record. The transcript has 3 exons. NCBI's taxonomy places the organism in Eukaryota, Metazoa, Chordata, Actinopteri, Centrarchiformes, Centrarchidae.
AGUCACUGCAGUUGUUGGAGCUUUGUGUAAAAGGGAAGGAAGAACAGACAGGCUGUACUCAGAAGGAGAAGCAGAGCGACAGUGUCCGUGCUGGAUGUGAAGAUGGGGCACACUUUGCUCUGUGUGCUGGGGUUAUUCUUGCUGAAUACACUCCUCUACGGACACGCUGAAG